GUAAAUAUAGUUUAAUUAAAACAUUAGAUUGUGAACCUAACUAUAGAAGCCUAUCGCUCCUUAUUUACC
RNAcentral lists this transfer RNA (69 nucleotides) under Cercopithecus cephus ngottoensis. RNAcentral's name for it is "tRNA-His". It matches the Rfam family "tRNA". Rfam says of the family: Transfer RNA (tRNA) molecules are approximately 80 nucleotides in length. Their secondary structure includes four short double-helical elements and three loops (D, anti-codon, and T loops). Lineage: Eukaryota; Metazoa; Chordata; Mammalia; Primates; Cercopithecidae. The record is from RNAcentral.